UACAGAGGUCCCAAGCGUUGUUCGGAUUCACUGGGCGUAAAGCGUGCGUAGACGGUAGCGUAAGUCGGGUGUGAAAGCCCCGGGCUCAACCUGGGAAUUGCAUUCGAGACUGCUCUGCUAGGGUGCGGAAGAGGGAAGCGGAAUUUCCGGUGUAGCGGUGAAAUGCGUAGAUAUCGGAAGGAACACCAGUGGCGAAAGCGGCUUCCUGGUCCAGCACCGACGUUCAGGCACGAAAGCGUGGGGAGCAAACAGG
RNAcentral lists this ribosomal RNA (253 nucleotides) under uncultured bacterium. RNAcentral's name for it is "partial 16S ribosomal RNA". It matches the Rfam family "Bacterial small subunit ribosomal RNA", at positions 524 to 776 of the family's 1533-position model. The record is from RNAcentral.